RNAcentral lists this ribosomal RNA (253 nucleotides) under Acidobacterium sp. RNAcentral describes it as "partial 16S ribosomal RNA". It matches the Rfam family "Bacterial small subunit ribosomal RNA", at positions 524 to 776 of the family's 1533-position model. RNAcentral also lists the same sequence under 1 other name. The record is from RNAcentral. Lineage: Bacteria; Pseudomonadati; Acidobacteriota; Terriglobia; Terriglobales; Acidobacteriaceae.
UACGGGGGGGGCAAGCGUUGUUCGGAAUUACUGGGCGUAAAGGGCUCGUAGGCGGCCAACUAAGUCAGACGUGAAAUCCCUCGGCUCAACCGGGGAACUGCGUCUGAUACUGGAUGGCUUGAAUCCGGGAGAGGGAUGCGGAAUUCCAGGUGUAGCGGUGAAAUGCGUAGAUAUCUGGAGGAACACCGGUGGCGAAGGCGGCAUCCUGGACCGGCAUUGACGCUGAGGAGCGAAAGCCAGGGGAGCAAACGGG